Lactuca sativa (garden lettuce) is the source of this 4817-nucleotide non-coding RNA. The record is from RefSeq and is a predicted model, not a curated record. Lineage: Eukaryota; Viridiplantae; Streptophyta; Magnoliopsida; Asterales; Asteraceae.
GCUUUAUUCUCCACCGCUUUACCUUUACCAACCCUAUACUCAACACACAUCACUUUCUUCCAUCCUUCCAUCCGUCCUUCCGGAAAUCUCUCUAUUCCUCCGGUAUAGUCUACUAUCCACCGAAACCCACCGCCUCAUACUCCCUCCUUUCUACCUAAACACUUCCUCAACCAUGGUAACCACCCCCACCUCAUCCGGUAUAACCCACUGCCUCAUCUCGAUCCUUCCUCAUUUCACUAUUCCAGAAACCCAACGCCUCAUAACACUCUAUGAGUGUUUCCUCUUCUACCACUUCCUUGCUCUGCUCUAGAAAUCUCCAUUUAAUGUUCGUUGCCGCUCCCAAGCAUCGUCGUAUGAGGUUUUGCUCCGUCUAACUUUCAACGACUCGCCUACGACUUAUCUGUAUCUUCUCCUCCCACCUACCGACUCAUCGAUCUUCAAUAUCGGACUCAUCACAAUUGAGACCCAAAACCCUCUCACCACCACCGACCUAUACGCCGCUGCUCACGAUCGUCUCCACAGACUCACCCCGCUGCUUCUGCUCUGUCUUCAACCUUCUUCAUGUUUCCUCUUCUACCACUUCCUUGCUCCGCUCUAGAAAUCUCUAUUUAAUGUCUGUUGCCGCUCCCAAGCAUCGUCGUCUGAGGUUUUGCUCCGUCUAACUUUCAACGACUCGCCUACGACUUAUAUGUAUCUUCUCAUCCCACCUACCGACUCAUCGAUCUUCAACAUCGGACUCAUCACGGUUGAGACCCAAAACCCUCUCACCACCACUGACCUAUACGCCGCUGCUCACGAUCGUCUUCACCGACUCACCCCGCUGCUUCUGCUCAGUCUUCAACCUUCUUCAUGUUUCCUCUUCUACCACUUCCUUGCUCCGCUCUAGAAAUCUCCAUUUAAUGUCUGUUGCCGCUCCCAAGCAUCGUCGUCUGAGGUUUUGCUCCGUCUAACUUUCAACGACUCGCCUACGACUUAUCUGUAUCUUCUCCUCCCACCUACUGAAUCAUCGAUCUUCAACAUCGGACUCAUCACGGUUGAGACCCAAAACCCUCUCACCACCACCGACCUAUACGCCGCUGCUCACGAUCGUCUCCACCGACUCACCCCGCUGCUUCUGCUCAGUCUUCAACCUUCUUCAUUUUCAAACCGAGCGAAGCUUCCAUCUUCGUCUCGAGGUCGUUUUCCUACCCUUAUGUCGACUAGGCCUCUUCCUUUCGUUUUAGGGCUUUAGGAAGAGGGAAACGCUCAUUGGUGGCGGUGCGGACCAUCGCAGACAAUACUGAAAGAAAGCAAGGAUUUUUGUCAUUGAUGAGGUAAUUUAAAGUUUUUAAAUUUCUAUUGGUCCUUGGAAAACAAAUAACAGGACCAUUUGCUUCCAUACACGUAUACCCUCCAAAUUACCUACCCCGGCUCCAUCUGCUACGCUGAUUUCACUCGCAUCUGAAAGAAUCGGUAAGCUGAGGACCAUACCUGUUUCUUUAAAUGUUAACUAUUUUCCAGUUGUGUGUGAUUUUGCAGUAGGUGGUGUAUCUAUUCCUAUGAUGGUAGCGCGAUCCAUUGUUGUUACUGGUGUAGUUGGUAUGUUUGUUGGAUUUAGGGUUUACGAGUUCUUAUUCAGGUUUUCCAUGCUCCUGACUCCCACUAUUAAGACAAUAAGUAGGUGAUAGAACUUGGUGUAUGAGUACUUUCUUAAAAUGAAUGAGAUUGAGCUGAGAAGCAAAAAUACAUACGAAAAUUUGGUUUACCUUUAUAGAAGUGGAAAGAAUUACAUUUCAUGUUGAAAGUUGGUUUUUCAGAAAUGUAUUUGAUGUUUUUGACAGGUGUCAAUUGAAACUCAACUCAACUACUUAUUUUGGUGUUCUUAGGAUCAGAAGACUGAAACGUACAAGGAUAUAAUCAAAUCUGGAAGUGUAAGAGGUAACAUUUUGUUCUGAUGUUUAUGUGUAUAUAUGAUCAUUUUUUGUUGUAUCCUUCUGUUUUUUUUCAGGGGAAUUUAGAUUACAGGAGGUAGUUCGAUUGGUGUUGCCAUUAAAGCCCACACAUCACCACCAAAAAUCUUCUCAGGUUUUUUAUAACUCCUAGGGUUUAAUUUGAUUUAUAAUACGAUCUCAAUAUGUGAUCUCCGUGCUCUUCUGGAAGUAGAGGUAUGUGCUUCAUCUGUACAUAAAUAUGAUUAAUAAAAACAACAAUUCGUCUUUAGUCUUUAGAGCUAGGUUUUCUAAUCUGGUUGGAUUACAGAUUAGCCUGCCUACUGUAAGAUUUGUUAUAACUAUAAGUGAACAGGUUAUUGGCGUUGCUGUAAUUCGAGGAAUCAAAACAGAUCAUCAGUUGGUUAAAGUAUUUUUUUUUGUUUUUCUUCCAUAUUGAAGAAUAAAUUAUAACAUCUUCCUCUCCAAGGUUGAUGUAGCACCUGGUUCCUGGUACGUAUGACCUAUCUAAUUAUUUAAAUUUUUUAGCCUUGGACUCAGCGAGUUGUAGGCCCGACUCGCCGAGUAGAGCCGGGAUAUUGAGCACGUUUAAGUUGGCGACUCGGCGAGUCCACAUUCCGGACACGGCGAGUCCCCCCUGACUGGAUGAAACCCUAAUUUCAAGGGUUUGCACCCUAUUUAAAUCAACCUUAUGCACCCCAAGCCCGACUCCUUCACCCUCAGAGCACCCUAUAUUGACCUAACCCCCUUUUCUUGUGAGAUUGAAGUGUUUUGGUGUGAUUUCUUGAAGAUCUUGGUGAUUAUCUCAGAGAUUCCUUGAGCCGGAGGACUUCCGGAACAGCAGCAGCAACAGUAGACAGUCAGUUCUCGCUUAAAUCAGCAGCUACUUCGAGGUGAGUUACCUUCCAGUAGCGGUGGGUCUACGGCCACAAUGCCGGCCCACCAGUAGGAGUUGUAUGUUAGAUGAUUGUCUCUGUGAUAUUCAUCUAGAGUUGCUACUACCUGUGAUAUGUUUAUGUGCUAGUAUGAUAUGAUGCUAUGUGCUAGUGACAGUAGGGGAGAUAGUCCCCAGAUUACCGGUCAAUAGGGCCGAAGGGGCGGUCAUGCCCAACCAUGCUAGAUAGAUUAUGUGAUAUGUGUUAUGUGGUAGUAGUAAGGGUGAAAUAGUCCCCAGCAUCCGGUCGAGAGGACCGAAGGGAGAGACCAGCACCCAGAUAUGCUAGUCAGUAUCCGGUCGAGAGGACCGAAGGGGAGGCCAGCACCCAGAUAUGCUAGUCAAUAUCCGGUCGAGAGGACCAAAGGGGUAGGUCAGGCACCCAGAUAUGCCUGACAAUAUAAGUAUGUUAUGUGGUUAUAUGGUAUGUGGUACAGUGGGGGAACUCACUAAGCUUCGUGCUUACGGUUUUCAGUUUUUGUUUCAGGUACUUCUUCAGUCAAGGGGAAGGAGCUGGCGCGGUAGCGGCUCAUCACACACACGCUCUUUGUUUUCCGCACUACGAGUCAUUCUGGGAUUUGCACUCUGAUAUUAUUAUGUUUUACGUUUUGGUUUACGGUCACGAGACAUGUUUUAUUAAAUGUUAUGAGCACAUGAUAUUUUGUUACAAACGUUUUGCAAAUCACUUAAUUAAAAAUGAAAAUUUUGACCCGUAUUUUUGGGAUGUUACAAUUCAAAAACAUAUUACUGGAUUAGUACUGCUUUACAAAAAUUAUAAGUGAUUAACUUCUAAAUCUAAUGGAAGGAGGGGAAGCAAACGGUAUUGUAAUUGUUUCCCAAUUUUGUUCUACAUAAUUGAAACUACAGUGUUGUUAAUCAUUACAGACUCCUACACACGCUUCCCUCUCUAAUGUUGUUUGCUUCCCUCUCUAACACCGUAUUCCUACUAUCUGUACAUAUUCAUAUCAGGUAUAUGUUCAUUUAAUCUAUCAAUUCUGAUUUUCUUUAAUAUUUGUACUUUCACAUCCUUUUGCAACCAUUGGUUUUCUACAACCAUACUGAAGCAUAUGAAACUUUUGCUCAAAUUACGAUGCCAUUGAAAAUUGUAUUUUUGCUAUUGUCCUUGAAUCCACGUACCUCAAGGUUUUGUAAGAUGCACCAUGUUUUGCUAACAUGGACCAUGUUUCCUAAUGUGCAUAAUGUUUACCAAAUCAUGAAUUUUCAAAAAGAUUUAUGUUUACUUGAAUGCAGGCAAUAUCUACAUUGCGAGUUUAUAUGAAAUGAUUAGAGACUAUGGGCAGGCGGCUAGAGAUCUUAGAAGAUUCUUGUCUCUUCUCAUAUCUCAACUACACGAAAAUUCAAUUCUUAAUCAAUCCAAUAAGCUAAGAUUCCAGAAGGCAAUGGUUCAGGAUUUUUUUGGGAUGAAGAAGGGCAUAUUGUCACCAAUUACCAUGAAACUCGCCAAUUCGUCAUGCUGAAUAGUACCAUAUUCCUCCUAUUAGGUUGUUACAAAAACAUGAUAUGGAGUUUCCUGGACGGAGGAAGAACAUAUGACGUUUCUACUGGGGUAAAAGGAGCUGAUGCAAGUUGAUUGGUAAAUUGGUCAAAAGAUGAUUUUUUUUUGUUUUUUCGCAUCAAUACUACUUGAUCCAUUACCGCAAAUGUGUCUAUUGUUGAUUUGUAGGGUCUUCGUAUUGGUCAUAACCUAGCCUUAGCCAUUGGUUUAUUUAAUAUUCGAGAGGUAGGGUGUUGUUGCCGCACUUGCUAUUUACUUUGCAACACAAAGGGGUCAUUAUAUAAUAUCAUACUACAACAUAUUUGUAUAUUUGUAAAUGGGCGAAACGUAGACAAUAGCAACAUACUUUAUUAUAGCUACCAAUUAGAAACAAUGUACUAUACUUCCACACAAAAGCGACACCUUCCGAACCCCGCAACGCGGAGAUCACCUUUCUAGU